Molecule: long non-coding RNA, 3564 nt
Organism: Dicentrarchus labrax (European seabass)
Lineage: Eukaryota; Metazoa; Chordata; Actinopteri; Moronidae
Exons: 3
Source: RefSeq, a predicted model, not a curated record
CUGGUGGACUCUUUGUGGCUAACUUUUGUAAACCUGCAGAUUGCCAAAGAAGCAAAAGGGAAGCAAAGCAAGCUGGGAAGAAGGCUUGAGACAGAUAGCUUCCGAGGGCCCAAAACAUGGCGAAAAGUCACGGAACAAGUGGAUUGUGUAGGCACGUCACUUCUGCCCCCAUAAUGAGCUACUUAAACCCUGAGAGAUGCAGCAUGACAACCAUACGAAUAUUAUUUUUUUCUCUCUGGGACUGCUGGUGUGUCUUAAAAGCCUAAAUGGUACACAUGCUGUAUGGGGAGGGCUGUGUUUGGGAGUUUUGUGAGGUCUCAUGUAGAAGAAGCAGAGGGAGCUGACAGGCAUGGCGACCUUGCCUCCUCACGUUAGCCUACAUAUGUAGGAAAUCAUGAGAAAUGGGCUACAAAGCACUGACGCCACGGCGUGAACCAAGCCUUGACAAUAGUAGUAAUGCUGCUCGUCGAUAAUUUUGGAUUGGUGGUGGCGUGAGGCCUGUUUUGGUGAGUACACAGGGUGGCAGAUACAGAUUAUUGGCAAUUGAUUAAUCUGCCAACUAGUCCCUUUAUUCUGUAACACAUCAGGAAGCAGUGAAACAUGGCCAUUACUAUUUCCCAAGGUGCUGCACAUCGCCUUCUGUGGAGACUGCCAUGUUGAAUCGCCAUGUUUCUACAGUAGCCCAGUGCUACAUAAGGGCGUUGGUGUUUUUUGUGCGUAUCACGGCCACCAUAUUGUCUCCUUCACACUUGGAAGAGGAGGGUAAAGAGAGGGAGUUGCGAUCUGCAGCUAUACCUUUAGACCCCACUAAAUCCUACACACUGGUCCUUUAAGGUCUCUGACAUAAUCACAGCAGCCUGUUGGAGAAACAGUUUUACUUGAUGGUGUCUAGUGUAAGGAGAAGGAAUAGUAGAAGCAAGAAUUUGUCAUUUUUUUCAAUAGAAACCCUGUUUAUGGUGGUGAGGCUUUUUUACGUAAGAGGAUCUUAUGACCAGCUGAUUCUCAAUGAAGGAUUUCCAGGUCCAAGUGUCGACUGAGGCCAGACUGAAAAGUCACUGCCUGCCAGGAGCUCUUUAAGGGGGAAAUGUAAGGCAUGAUUAAAGAUUUUUUUUUUCAUUUUAAUUCACAAUGAAAAGAACCAAAAUGCGCCUUGACUGUCAUUUAUAAACUGCACAAUGGCUGUUUUGAGAGGCUCAAAGGGCCUUUACAUCUGCGGAGUACCUUCAUGCUUUAACUACAUGACAAAUCUCAAUUCAGUGGCAUUCCUCCUCAACACAGCGUUCCUCUUCCAGAGCCUGCAGGUAGACAACAUCUCGUGUAACUUCAAUGGCUUCCUGCAAGAAACAAACAAGACGGAGAGGAAGAGUCCUCAUUAGACGGCCUGUGCUGUAAUGACGAGGCUGCAGAGGCAGGAGAAAGUCACUUUGUUCAAAACUAAAUAAUGAGAUCCAGGCAUUGUUUUUUCUGUAAGUGAAAAAGAACAUUUGACAAUAGAUUUCCAUUUUCUAUACAUGAUACAGACAACCAAAUGUACUUUAUAGUACCCAGGCUGCACAGAUCUGCUUAUAUGCUGCCAUCUUUGUUAUUUAAUAUGAAGAGCUUACUUAAAAAUGUGUGUAAACCCUAUAUUUAUGGUCCACGGCUGUAUUAUUUGAUGGUGUAAUGUGAAUCAAGCUGAUUAUUUACAGGUAAUACUUUCAUUUUUACAUACAGACAUUAUUUGCUUCCCAUAGCAACCAUUUCUUCCUCUUAAUAAACUCCCUAUUUUUUCUCCUCAGAUCACCUCCUCACUGUGUCAGAUGUUAAAACUCAUCCUGUCUGCGGCUCAAAUGUGUCCAUUGCACGGAUUCAAAUGCCUGCCAUGCAUAUUUGCUGCAACAAGGACAGAAACAGGAUGUCUGCUGCUGGACUAAUGAGAUCCAUCAUCAGCGAGCAGACACACAUUGUUAGUGCCUGCAUGUCAUUCCUGUCCAUUUUACCUUUUCUCCCUAUUAUUUAUUCCCCCUGGCCUUCCUCCAUAGUGUGACGUCAGUUUGACAUGCAUUGCUGUGUGACAUGCUGGUCCACUAACAGUCUGAAGAAGAGUCCGAGCUGAAAAUGUAAUUGUAGGAAUGCCAGAGUGCAACAGUAUUUACUGCAUCAAUGAUUUGUUAGUGCGUGCAAUAAGUGCCUGGGUGCAAGUGCUUAUUAGAAAAGCAGAAAAACAGUCACAGCAGUUGACGUCCUCAAAGUGAAAGCUGGCCAGAUGUGAACAGAAAUCAGUGGAGAGUGACAGUGUGUGAGCUUCAUGCAGAUGUGCUCUCGCCACCUGCCAACACCGCGCAAAAACUACUUCUGAUAAGUUCUCUUCUUCUUUAGAGCUACAAAUAGAUGGUUUAAAUCAGCCUAGUUCAUUACAAUGGCUUUAAAGAACAGAUUAAGAUUCUCUCUUCAGCAAUGCUGAGCAAGAUUUAAUAAGUCAGCUCUUAAAUAUUCAUCUUAACCUCAAGAUGUAGCUGUUCUGGAGCUUUCAGUUAUAUCACACCAUCUUCAUAAGCAGGUGGAAGACAACAAGAAGUCCAUAAAGUGCUCAGAAAAAAAUGGCAAAAAAACUACAUUUGAGUGACAAUGGUCAUCUGGUGAAGGAGACCAUGUGAUAUGAUUGAAAGAUCCAUAACGCUUGCUAAAAUAGUUCAUGAGGUAAGUUUGUGUCUCUGUUUCUGAGGUCAAAAAUUAACUUAAUUUCUACUUACAUAGGUUUUUCUGCUAUUUGUUCAACCAUAUGGCCAUGAUAAAGUAAGUAAGUGGACCUUUGAGUUGCGAUUAUUUUUUUUUUCUUUGGUCAAAACUGUGCGUUUCCAGUGUUCUCCUUUAUGUGUUGGCCAUUUAUAAAAACUACAAAGCCCUUUGAGUCUGUAUAAAUAAAACGGACUUAAAAUGUACUACUCAAUUAUUAUUGAACGUCAAUCAAUUCAUUAUUAAUUAUUAACCUCAGCAAUGAUUUGAAACAUUAAAGUGCAUUGAAUUAGAGAUGUUUAAAAAAACUUUAUGGAAACAUUUAAAUAAGCCCCAAGCUUUAUGCUCAAAGUUGAAUAAUUAAAAUAAUACAAAGACAAAUAAAUUAAUCCAUUAAACGUAUUUAUAUGUUGAUUAAACAAGCUCUGCACAAGAACUCACUGCCUCGUCCUCAUAUGGUUUUACUGGCAGUCAAAUUAGAAAGUCAACCAUUCAAUUUGUGAGAUUCAUUCAAUUAACAUAUAUGCAACCAAAACACAGUUGAACAACCGGGGUGAUAAGAAACAGACAGAGCAGUCCCUGGAGAACACACAGAAAACAGGAUCAAUUUGUUACACAUCCAAAAGGUAGCAGAGAGUGAAACUAUGAAAGAAAGGGGAAUGUGUGUGCCACAGGAGCAGCAUCAACGCCCACAGUCAGACUUUUUUCAUACUUUGUUACUUUUUGGAAAUGUCAUAAGCUAAUCAGCUGUAUUCAAAGCUGUUUUUCCAUGAAUGUUAUGGGCCCCCGUCGAGAGCCUGGAUUCCUGAGCACAAACCUGCCUAUUUUGAAAUAAAGAAUAUGAAUUUG